CCAAUAGCGUAUAUUAAAGUUGUUGCAGUUAAAAAGCUCGUAGUUGAACUUCGGGGUUUGCUCAUUGGUCAGGCUUAAUUGUCUGUACUGGUGAGAAAAAUCUCUACCUUCUGAGGAACUUUCAUGCCAUUUAUUUGGUGUGAUGGGAAAUCAGGACUGUUACUUUGAAAAAAUUAGAGUGUUUAAAGCAGACUAACGUCUGAAUACAUUAGCAUGGAAUAAUGAAAUAGGACGGACUGAUUCUAUUUCGUUGAUUUCUAGAAUCACCGUAAUGAUUAAUAGGGAUAGUUGGGGGCAUUAGUAUUCAAUUGUCAGAGGUGAAAUUCUUGGAUUUAUUGAAGACUAACUACUGCGAAAGCAUUUGCCAAGGAUGUUUUCAUUAAUCAAGAACGAAAGUUAGGGGAUCGAAGACGAUCAGAUACCGUCGUAAUCUUAACCAUAAACUAUGCCGACUAGGGAUCGGACGAAGUUAAUUUUAUAAUGACGCGUUCGGCACCUUACA
This 502-nucleotide ribosomal RNA is filed under the name uncultured Glomeromycotina. RNAcentral describes it as "partial small subunit ribosomal RNA". It matches the Rfam family "Eukaryotic small subunit ribosomal RNA", at positions 591 to 1092 of the family's 1831-position model. The record is from RNAcentral. Lineage: Eukaryota; Fungi; Glomeromycota.